GUGUCAGCCGCCGCGGUAAUACAGAGGCCCCAAGCGUUACUGAGAAUCACUGGGUUUAAAGGGUGCGUAGGUGGCGCGUUAAGUCCGUUGUGAAAGCCCUGGGCUCAACCCAGGAACUGCUUCGGAUACUGGCGCGCUUGAGGCUAGUAGGGGUCACUGGAACUGACGGUGGAGCGGUGAAAUGCGUAGAUAUCGUCAGGAACGCCAAUGGUGAAGACAGGUGACUGGGCUAGUUCUGACACUGAGGCACGAAAGCGUGGGGAGCGAACGGGAUUAGAAACCCUCGUAGUCC
RNAcentral lists this ribosomal RNA (292 nucleotides) under uncultured bacterium. RNAcentral's name for it is "partial 16S ribosomal RNA". It matches the Rfam family "Bacterial small subunit ribosomal RNA", at positions 505 to 796 of the family's 1533-position model. The record is from RNAcentral.